RNAcentral lists this ribosomal RNA (911 nucleotides) under uncultured bacterium. RNAcentral's name for it is "bacterial SSU rRNA". It matches the Rfam family "Bacterial small subunit ribosomal RNA", at positions 517 to 1427 of the family's 1533-position model. The record is from RNAcentral.
GCGGUAAUACGUAGGUGGCCAAGCGUUUUCCGGAAUUAUUGGGCGUAAAGCGCCGCCGGCUGGUCUCUUAGUUUGAUGUGAAAGCCCACGGCUCACCGUGGAGGGUCAUUGGAAACUGGGAGACUUGAAUGCAGGAGAGGAGAAGUGGAAUUCCACGUGUAGCGGUGAAAAUGCGUAGAGAUGUGGAGGAACACCAGUGGCGAAGGCGGUUUUUUUGCCUGUAACUGACGGUGAGGCGCGAAAGCGUGGGGAGCAAACAGGAUUAGAUACCCUGGUAGUUCACGCCGUAAACGAUGAGUGCUAGGUGUUGGGGGGUUCCACCCUCAGUGCUGAAGUUAACACAUUAAGCACUCCGCCUGGGGAGUACGACCGCAAGGUUGAAACUCAAAGGAAUUGACGGGGGCCCGCACAAGCAGUGGAGCAUGUGGUUUAAUUUGAAGCAACGCGAAGAACCUUACCAGGUCUUGACAUCCUCUGACCACUCUAGAGAUAGAGCUUUCCCCUUCGGGGGACAGAGUGACAGGUGGUGUAUGGUUGUCGUCAGCUCGUGUCGUGAGAUGUUGGGUUAAGUCCCGCAACGAGCGCAACCCUUGACCUUAGUUGCCAGCAUUCAGUUGGGCACUCUAAGGUGACUGCCGGUGACAAACCGGAGGAAGGUGGGGAUGACGUCAAAUCAUCAUGCCCCUUAUGACCUGGGCUACACACGUGCUACAAUGGGUGGUACAAAGGGUUGCGAAGCCGCGAGGCCAAGCCAAUCCCAAAAAGCCACUCUCAGUUCGGAUUGUAGGCUGCAACUCGCCUACAUGAAGCCGGAAUUGCUAGUAAUCGCGGAUCAGCAUGCCGCGGUGAAUACGUUCCCGGGCCUUGUACACACCCCCCGUCACACCCCGAGAGUUUGUAACACCCGAAGU